UACGGAGGGGGCUAGCGUUGUUCGGAAUUACUGGGCGUAAAGCGCGCGUAGGCGGCUUUGUAAGUCAGAGGUGAAAGCCCGGAGCUCAACUUCGGAAUAGCCUUUGAGACUGCAUCGCUUGAAUCCGGGAGAGGUGAGUGGAAUUCCGAGUGUAGAGGUGAAAUUCGUAGAUAUUCGGAAGAACACCAGUGGCGAAGGCGGCUCACUGGACCGGUAUUGACGCUGAGGUGCGGAAGCGUGGGGAGCAAACAGG
This 253-nucleotide ribosomal RNA is filed under the name uncultured bacterium. Its description in RNAcentral is "partial 16S ribosomal RNA". It matches the Rfam family "Bacterial small subunit ribosomal RNA", at positions 524 to 776 of the family's 1533-position model. The record is from RNAcentral.